GCAUGAAUAAAAGGUAAUGGUGUCCUUUGGACAUAACAGGGAAUUGAGUUAAUACUCAAGCUGUCCCAGCAACCGUGAUACUGACGAAAUGCAAAUACCACUGAGAAAUCGGGAAGGUGCAAAGUAGGAUGAAGUUUAGCCGGUAGACCUACCAUUACCAAAAGUUUUCU
RNAcentral lists this non-coding RNA (170 nucleotides) under Mollicutes bacterium. The record is from RNAcentral. RNAcentral also lists the same sequence under 1 other name. Lineage: Bacteria; Bacillati; Mycoplasmatota; Mollicutes.